UGGGGAAUCUUGCACAAUGGGGGCAACCCUGAUGCAGCGACGCCGCGUGAGCGAUGAAGCCCUUCGGGGCGUAAAGCUCUUUCGACCGGAACGAUAAUGACGGUACCGGGAGAAGAAGCUGCGGCUAACUACGUGCCAGCAGCCGCGGUAAUACGUAGGCAGCGAGCGUUGUUCGGAGUUACUGGGCGUAAAGAGUGCGUAGGCGGUUUUCUAAGUUCGGUUUGAAAUCUCCCGGCUUAACUGGGAGGGUGCGCCGAAGACUGGGAAGCUGGAGUGUGGGAAAGGCAGGCGGAAUUCCUGGUGUAGCGGUGAAAUGCGUAGAUAUCAGGAGGAACACCGGCGGUGUAGACGGCUUGCUAGACCAUAACUGACGCUGAGGCACGAAAGCGUGGGUAGCAAACA
RNAcentral lists this ribosomal RNA (402 nucleotides) under uncultured bacterium. RNAcentral's name for it is "bacterial SSU rRNA". It matches the Rfam family "Bacterial small subunit ribosomal RNA", at positions 355 to 774 of the family's 1533-position model. The record is from RNAcentral.